Molecule: transfer RNA, 74 nt
Filed under: Candidatus Sungbacteria bacterium RIFCSPHIGHO2_02_FULL_41_12b
Lineage: Bacteria; Candidatus Sungiibacteriota
Also listed under: 1 other name
Description: tRNA-Pro
Rfam family: tRNA
About the family: Transfer RNA (tRNA) molecules are approximately 80 nucleotides in length. Their secondary structure includes four short double-helical elements and three loops (D, anti-codon, and T loops).
Source: RNAcentral
CGGGGAGUAGUAUACCGGUAGUACGUACGCUUCGGGUGCGUAAAGACCGGGUUCGAUUCCCGGCUCCCCGACAA